RNAcentral lists this ribosomal RNA (479 nucleotides) under uncultured Acidovorax sp. RNAcentral describes it as "bacterial SSU rRNA". It matches the Rfam family "Bacterial small subunit ribosomal RNA", at positions 902 to 1382 of the family's 1533-position model. Lineage: Bacteria; Pseudomonadati; Pseudomonadota; Betaproteobacteria; Burkholderiales; Comamonadaceae. The record is from RNAcentral.
CAAAGGAAUUGACGGGGACCCGCACAAGCGGUGGAUGAUGUGGUUUAAUUCGAUGCAACGCGAAAACCUUACCCACCUUUGACAUGUACGGAAUCCUUUAGAGAUAGAGGAGUGCUCGAAAGAGAGCCGUAACACAGGUGCUGCAUGGCUGUCGUCAGCUCGUGUCGUGAGAUGUUGGGUUAAGUCCCGCAACGAGCGCAACCCUUGUCAUUAGUUGCUACAUUCAGUUGGGCACUCUAAUGAGACUGCCGGUGACAAACCGGAGGAAGGUGGGGAUGACGUCAAGUCCUCAUGGCCCUUAUAGGUGGGGCUACACACGUCAUACAAUGGAUGGUACAAAGGGUCGCCAACCCGCGAGGGGGAGCCAAUCCCAUAAAGCCAUUCGUAGUCCGGAUCGCAGUCUGCAACUCGACUGCGUGAAGUCGGAAUCGCUAGUAAUCGUGGAUCAGAAUGUCACGGUGAAUACGUUCCCGGGUCUU